UCCUCCCUCAAACCCCCGGGUUUGGUGUUGGACCGCGUUGGGGGACCGUUCGCGGCCUCCCCAACUGGUCUCAAAGACAAUGACGGCGUCCGUGGGACCCUCUUCGCACCGAGCUUUCCGGAGCACGCGUCGAGUCGCAAGGUCCCGGGGACCCGGCCUCCUCAAAAACUAUUUUUUCA
This 179-nucleotide unclassified non-coding RNA is filed under the name uncultured Chaetothyriales. Its description in RNAcentral is "sequence contains ITS2". The record is from RNAcentral. Lineage: Eukaryota; Fungi; Ascomycota; Eurotiomycetes; Chaetothyriales.